RNAcentral lists this ribosomal RNA (253 nucleotides) under uncultured bacterium. RNAcentral describes it as "partial 16S ribosomal RNA". It matches the Rfam family "Bacterial small subunit ribosomal RNA", at positions 524 to 776 of the family's 1533-position model. The record is from RNAcentral.
UACGUAGGGGGCAAGCGUUGUCCGGAUUUAUUGGGCGUAAAGAGCGUGUAGGCGGCCAUGCAGGUCCGCUGUGAAAACUGGAGGCUUAACCUCCAGACGUCGGUGGAAACCGCAUGGCUAGAGUCCGGAAGAGGAGAGUGGAAUUCCCGGUGUAGCGGUGAAAUGCGCAGAUAUCGGGAAGAACACCCGUGGCGAAGGCGGCUCUCUGGGACGGUACUGACGCUGAGACGCGAAAGCGUGGGGAGCGAACAGG